Molecule: ribosomal RNA, 492 nt
Filed under: uncultured bacterium
Lineage: Bacteria
Description: partial 16S ribosomal RNA
Rfam family: Bacterial small subunit ribosomal RNA
Source: RNAcentral
AUUGAACGCUGGCGGCAUGCUUUACACAUGCAAGUCGAACGGUAACAGGCCUUCGGGUUCUGCCGAGUGGCGGACGGGUGAGUAAUGCAUCGGAACGUGCCCAGAGGUGGGUGUUAACGCAGCGAAAGCUGUGCAAAUACCGCAUGUGAUCUGAGGAUGAAAGCGGGGGACCAGGCAGCAAUGUUUGGCCUCGCGCCUUUGGAGCGGCCGAUGUCAGAUUAGGUAGUUGGUGGGGUAAAGGCCCACCAAGGCGACGAUCCGUAGCUGGUCUGAGAGGACGAUCAGCCACACUGGGACUGAGACACGGCCCAGACUCCUACGGGAGGCAGCAGUGGGGAAUUUUGGACAAUGGGCGCAAGCCUGAUCCAGCAAUGCCGCGUGCGGGAAGAAGGCCUUCGGGUUGUAAACCGCUUUUGUACGGAAAGAAAAGGCUCUGGCUAAUACCUGGGGGUGAUGACGGUACCGUAAGAAUAAGCACCGGCUAACUACGUG